This 506-nucleotide ribosomal RNA is filed under the name uncultured Actinomycetes bacterium. RNAcentral's name for it is "bacterial SSU rRNA". It matches the Rfam family "Bacterial small subunit ribosomal RNA", at positions 355 to 871 of the family's 1533-position model. The record is from RNAcentral. Lineage: Bacteria; Bacillati; Actinomycetota; Actinomycetes.
UGGGGAAUAUUGCACAAUGGGCGAAAGCCUGAUGCAGCGACGCCGCGUGAGGGAUGACGGCCUUCGGGUUGUAAACCUCUUUCAGCAGGGAAGAAGCGAAAGUGACGGUACCUGCAGAAGAAGCGCCGGCUAACUACGUGCCAGCAGCCGCGGUAAUACGUAGGGCGCGAGCGUUGUCCGGAAUUAUUGGGCGUAAAGAGCUCGUAGGCGGUCUGUCGCGUCGGAUGUGAAAGCCCGGGGCUUAACCCCGGGUCUGCAUUCGAUACGGGCAGACUAGAGUGUGGUAGGGGAGAUCGGAAUUCCUGGUGUAGCGGUGAAAUGCGCAGAUAUCAGGAGGAACACCGGUGGCGAAGGCGGAUCUCUGGGCCAUUACUGACGUUGAGGAGCGAAAGCGUGGGGAGCGAACAGGAUUAGAUACCCUGGUAGUCCACGCCGUAAACGGUGGGAACUAGGUGUUGGCGACAUUCCACGUCGUCGGUGCCGCAGCUAACGCAUUAAGUUCCCCG